AGAGUUUGAUCCUGGCUCAGGACGAACGCUGGCGGCGUGCCUAAAACAUGCAAGUCGAACGGUGAACCGGAGCUUGCUCCGGGAAUCAGUGGCGAACGGGUGAGUAACACGUGAGAAACCUGCCUCGAAGUCCGGGAUAAGCCAGGGAAACUUGGUCUAAUACCGGAUACCUCCAACACAUCUUUUGUUGAGUUGAAGAAAGUUUUUCGCUUCGAGAGGGUCUCGCGUCCUAUCAGCUUGUUGGUGGGGUAACGGCCUACCAAGGCUUCGACGGGUAGCUGGUCUGAGAGGAUGGUCAGCCACACUGGGACUGAGACACGGCCCAGACUCCUACGGGAGGCAGCAGUUAGGAAUCUUGCGCAAUGGACGAAAGUCUGACGCAGCAACGCCGCGUGAGGGAUGAAGGCUUUCGGGUUGUAAACCUCUUUCAGCAGGAACGAAAUUGACGGUACCUGCAGAAGAAGCUCCGGCCAACUACGUGCCAGCAGCCGCGGUAAUACGUAGGGAGCAAGCGUUGUCCGGAUUUAUUGGGCGUAAAGAGCUCGUAGGCGGCUUAGAAAGUCAGGUGUGAAAACUCUGGGCUUAACCCAGAGACGCCACUUGAUACUUCUAUGGCUUGAGUUCGGUAGGGGACCAUGGAAUUCCUGGUGUAGCGGUGAAAUGCGCAGAUAUCAGGAGGAACACCGAUGGCGAAGGCAGUGGUCUGGGCCGAUACUGACGCUGAGGAGCGAAAGCGUGGGGAGCGAACAGGAUUAGAUACCCUAGUAGUCC
RNAcentral lists this ribosomal RNA (771 nucleotides) under uncultured bacterium. RNAcentral describes it as "bacterial SSU rRNA". It matches the Rfam family "Bacterial small subunit ribosomal RNA", at positions 8 to 796 of the family's 1533-position model. The record is from RNAcentral.